ACAUACAUACAUACAAUAAAAUCAUACUGCCAAUCAACUGUGCAAAGAGGAUGUGGAGAACUAUACAGGUACCAGGCAGCACUUUAUAAUAUAUUAAAAAUGGAAAGUGAACAGUGUGAUCAGCACAAAAAAGUGAACAAUGUGAGCAAGAAAAUAUAAACAAACAAAAUCAUACCACCACAUAAUAGCCUAAUUAUUAUGUUGGCUUGACAAAGCCAACAUACUGAUCUACUAUUUAAGCUUAUUAGUGGUGCUUGCAAAGCAUAUGGGUGGAAUCAUUUAAUGCGGCCUAGCAAGAAGUUUUGGAGCAUUACAUGAGUUUCGGGGUAAGAUGUACCCCUGGGGGGUAAAACGGGCCCAAAUAUGCCCCAUAGGCAUACCAUGUCAAGGGUCUCACCCAUGAAAACAAUUGUUUUUUCCCCAACUAUGACAAGACACUUUAUUUUGUGGGAUCAUAUCUCCCAAUCAAAAUGUCGCAGAGACAUGUGGGCAGGCUCAUUUCACUUGGGCUACCAAUCACUCUUUAAGUAUCACCUUGGAAACGGCAUAGCCACACCCUAACAACCAUUUACAGCACCCUAGCAACCGCCCCAAAGACUUCCAUUCAAAAUGGCUCAGAUGGAUAUCUUCAGAACAGAAUAUCAUAGACACUUGGGGAUUGGCUCUUUUGAGUCAGGUUAGUAAGCAGUCAAUAAGAAUCACUCUGUUCACUGGCUAGCCACUCCCUGGCAGCCAUUUAGAGCACCCUAGCAACCAGCUCUAUUGAUUUCAAUUAGAGUGUGAUAUCUUUGGAUCAGAAUGUCCUAGAGACAUGAGAAUUGGUUUGGCUUCAAGUAUCAUCAUGGAAACUACUUAGCCAUGCCCUAGCAACCACUUAGAGCACCCUAGCAACGAAACACCAUUGACUUCCUUUCAAAAUCACUAAGAUGGGUAUAUCAGGAUCAGAAUGUCGUAUAGACUUCAUUGUUGGUUUGUAUGACUAGAUUUUUAGAAUCACCAUGGCAACUGCCUAGCAACUACAUGGGCUUACCCUAGCAACCAAGUAGCAAAACACAUAUCUCCGCACCAGAACAUUGUAGAGACUUCCGUGUUGACUUAUUUCUCUCAGGAUAGCAAGAAGCCAUAUUAACUAUCACCUUGGUAACUGCCUAGCAACCACAUGGGGUUACCCUAGCAACCAAGUAACAAAUCACAUAUCUCUGAACCAGAAUAUUGUAGAGAAUUCCAGAUUGACUUAUUUCACUCAGGAUAGCAAGGAGCCAUAUUAACUAUCACCUUGGUAACUGCCUAUCAACCAGGUGGGGUUACCCUAGCAACCAAGUAACAAAUCACAUAUCUCUGCACCAGAAUAUCUUAAUUUCCGGUUUGACUUAUUUUACUCAGGAUAGCAAGGAGCCUUGUUCAAUAUCACCCUGGUAACUGCCUAGCAAUCAGAUGGGGUAACCCUAGCAACCAAGUAACAAAUCACAUAUCUCUGCACCAGAAUAUCGUAGAGACUUCCUGUUUGGCUUGUUUGACUCAGUCUAGCAAGGAACAUUUUGAGUAUCACCCUGGUAACUGCCUAGCAACCAGAUGGAACACCCUAGCAACCAUAGAACAACACUAAUAUCUCUGCACCAGAACAUCUUACUGUCGUGGGGGUUGCCUAAUUAUUAUUAUUCUUAUUAUUCUUAUUCUGUACAAAACUUCGGCACCUAACUCGUCCCGCACCGUUUGUAGUACACCCAUGAAUUAGGUGUCAAAUCGACUGGCCUAUUGACGACACCUGUGCUAUGACUUUUCUAAGGGAUUGGGUUUACGGUGCACCCCUGGGGGGCAAAAAACAUCCCGAAAAUUUCCCAUAGGCAUACUAUGGCAAGGGUCUCGCCCAUGAAAACAUUUUUUCCCCUACUAUGGCAGUCAAUGUAAGAAAGUUGUCAGAUCAUAUCUCCCAAUCAGAAUGACAUAGAGACAUGGGGGUGGGCUCAUUUCAAUCGGGAUACCAAUCACUCUUUAAGUAUCACCUUAAAAAUGGCAUAGCCAUGCCUUAACAACCAUAUAUGAGACCCUAGCAACCACCCCUCAUUAACUUCCAUUCAAAAUGUCUCAAAAGGAUAUCUUCAGAACAGAAUAUCGUACACACUUGGGGAUUGGCUCUUUUGAGUCAGGUUAGUAAGCAGCCAAUAAGAAUCACUCUGUUCACUGGCUAGCCACGCCCUGGCAACCAUUUAGACCACCCUAGCAACCAACUCUAUUGCUUUCACUUAGUGUGAUAUCUUCGGAUCAAAAUGUCCUAGAGACAUGAGAGUUGGCUUGUUUUAAUUGGGUGAGCAAUCAGUCUUCAAGUAUCAUCAUGGGAACUACUUAGCCACGCCCUAGUAACCAUUUAGAGAACCCUAGCAACCAAACACCAUUGACGUCUAUUCAAAAUCACUAAGAUGGGUAUCUCAGGAUCAGAAUGUCGUAGAGACUUCUGGAUUGACUUAUUUCACUCAGGAUGGCAAGGAGCCUUGUUAAGUAUCACCCUGGUAACUGCCUAGCAACCAUAUGGGGUUACCCUAGCAACCAAGUAACAAAUCAAAUAUCUCCACACCAGAACAUCAUAGACACUUCCGGGUUGACUUAUUUCACUCAGGAUACCAAGGAGCCUUGAAAAGAAUGACCCUGGUAACUGCCUAGCAACCACAUGGGCUUACCCUAGCAACUAAGUAACAAAUCACAAAUCUCUGCACCAGAACAUCAUAGAGACUUCCGGGUUGACUUAUUUCACUCAGGAUAGCAAGGAGCCUUGAUAAGUAUCACUCUGGUAACUGCCUAGCAACCAUGUGGGCUUACCAUAGCAACCAAGUAACAAAUCACAUAUCUCAGCACCAGAAAAUCGUAGAGAUUUCUGAGUUGACUUUUUUCACUCAGGAUAGCAAGGAGCCUUGUUAAGUAUCACCCUGGGAACUGCCUAGCAACCAGCUGGGGUUACCCUAGCAACCAAGUAACAAAUCACAUAUCUCUGCACCAGAAGAUCAUAGAGACUUCCGGGUUGACUUAUUUCACUCAGGAUGUCAAGAAGCCUUGUUAAGUAUCACGCUGGUAACUGCCUAGCAACCAGAUGAGGUUACCCUAGAAACCAUGUAACAAAUCACAUAUAUCUGCACCAGAACAUCGUAGAGACUUCCAGGUUGACUUAUUUCACUCAGGAUGGUAAGGAGCCUUGUUAAGUAUCACCCUUGUAACUGCCUAGCAACCAGAUGGGCUUACUCUAGCAACCAAGUAACAAAUCACAUAUCUCAGCACCAGAAAAUAGUAGAGAUUUCUGAGUUGACUUUUUUCAGUCAGGAUAGCAAGGAGCCUUUUGAGUAUCACCUUGGGAACUGCCUAGCAACCAAGUGGGUUUACCCUAGCAACCAAGUAACAAAUAAAAUAUCUCCGCACCAGAACAUCGUAGAGACUAAUGGGUUGACUUAUUUCACUCAGGAUACCAAGGAGCCUUUAUAAGUAUUACCCUGGUAACUGCCUAGCAACCACAUGGGCUUACCCUAGCAACCAAGUAACAAAUCACAUAUCUACGCACCAUAACAUUGUAGAGACUUCGGGGUUGACUUAUUUCACUCAGGAUAGCAAGGAGCCAUGUUAAGUAUCACCUUGGUAACUGCCUAGCAACCAGAUGGGGUUACCCUAGCAACCAAGUAACAAAUCACAUAUCUCUGCACCAGAAAAUCAUAGAGACUUCCGGGUUGACUUAUUUCACUCAGGAUAGCAAGAAGCUUUGUUAAGUAUCACCUUGUUAACUGCCUAGCAAGGAGAAGCGAUCUAUCUACAGGAGUCUGCAGUUGCAUGUAAGUGUGUUUAUUUCAUUGUUUUACUUUGUUGUAGAGUGGUAUUCAUUGCUAGACUUGUGUUGUUUGUUUACUGUCUUGAACUCCCGUCGCAUAAAUGUGGGUUGGUGUGUGUGUGUGUGUGCUAUAUUGUUUUGACUUGUCCCAGGGUAUUCACUGCUAGAUUUAGCGUUGGUUGUCCAGUGUGCGUAAAACUAUCAUGGUUUUUAGUGUCUAUAAACAGUGCUUCACUUGUUUUAGAGUAUUAUUUAUUGCUAAAGUGCAGCAUAAUUUAUUUGCGGUGUACGGAAGUCGCGUUUGUUCCUGUGCUUGUCACCUCACAUGACCCUUAGUUUCGAUUGACCACGUGACUAGCUUUGUUGUGCUAAGUAGUAUCCUGCUUUUUUUCAUUGAACGGCUCAUUAUCAUCGUGUAUAUAUUUGACUUGAAUGCUGACGCGGCAGUGGAAGUGGUAGCCCUCGUGUAAAGCCCUCCUCGUUUGAAGACCUACUUGGGUAAAGACCAGCGAGUCUACCUAGCAAGGACACCGACAAGGCGCCACUCACCAUAGCACUUAAGUAUCUUGUUAUUGUGUCUCUUUUCUUAUUUUCCAUCUAUAUACUAACAUGUCUACUUCACGAAUAAUGCAUGCCUUCAAGCACAUCCCUGUUAUCUGUUACAGACCGUUUACAUGAUAUCAAUGCAAGACCAAACGCAACCCACACAACCUACGGCCACUUUGCACUUCAGCACCUGCUCUGCCCUCUUUCUCAGUGGGACUCUGGAACUACCAGUCAGCUGUGAACAAAGCUGACUUCAUUCCAGCCUUUGCCACGCAGUUCACCCUCAGCAUCCUGGCACUGACAGAAACAUAGAUACAUCCAGAGGAUACAGCAAUACCUGCUGCUCUCUUCAACAACUUCUUCUUCUCUCACAACCCUUGACACACCGGUAGGGGUGGGGGAACAGGUUUGCUCAUUCAUAACAACUGGACUUUUUCACCACACUUUUCACUAUGUAACAAUACUAGUUUUGAAUUCCAUGCUAUUACUGCAAUGCAACCCACAAAAAUACAUGUUGUCAUCUAUCGACCUCCAGGUCAGCUGACAAACUUUCUUGAGGAGUUGGAUGUCCUGCUGUCCUCCUUGCCAGAGGAUGGUAGGCCACUUGUGGUUCUUGGUGAUUUCAACAUACACCAAGACAAGCCCGAGGCCACUGAAAUGAAUACUUUCCUGGCCUCAUUUGACUUGGAAAGACUACACACCACAGCAACUCACAGAUCAGGCAACCAGCUGGACCUCAUUUUUACAUGCCAGCAUGUGCUACACCACCCAGCCCCUGGCUGUCUGACGUCCUUUGUGAACAUCGGACUGACCUCAGGGCAGCUGAGAGGAGAUGGUGGAAAUCUAAAGAUCCAGCAGACCUAGUUCUCUCCUCUGACUGACACGAGGUCUCUAAACUCCUCCUCUCCAACCACCCCACCACCUGUUCCCUUGACCCCAUUCCUUCUCACCUUGCAACCACUUGCAACUCAACCCAGCCAAGACUGAACUCCUUGUCUUUCCAGCCAACCCUGCUGUUGAACAAAACAUCACCAUGCAGCUGGGUGCAACUACAGUAACACCUUCCAAAACUGUCAGAAAUCUAGGGGUAACCAUCGACAACAGACUAAAUUUCACAGACCACAUCUCAAAGACUGCAAGAUCAUGUAGAAUUACACUCUACAAUAUCAGGAAGAUAAGACCCUUCCUCUCUGAACAUGCCACACAACUGCUUGUCCAGUCACUUGUCAUAACUAGACUGGACUACUGUAAUGCUCUAAUUGCAUGCCUUCCUGCAUGUGCAAUUAGACCCCUGAAAAUUAUCCAGAAUACAGCAGCACAUCUGGUCUUAAAUGAACCAAAGAGAGUGCAUGUUACACCACUCCUUGUCUCUCUCCAUUGGCUGCCGACUGAUGCACGUAUCAAAUUCAAGGCUCUGAUGCUGGCAUACAGAACAGUCACUGGGUCUGCUCCAGCAUACCUAAAAUCAUUUAUGCAGAGCUACGUGCCCACUAGAAGCCUGCAGUCGGCUAAGAAACGUCGCCUUGUUGAACCAACACAAAGAGGCACCAAAACACUUUUCCGGACUUUCAGCUUCAUCAUACCACGUUGGUGGAACGACCUUCCCAACUCCAUCCGUGAAGCUGACUCACUCUCUGUCUUCAAAAAAACGACUAAAAACACAUCUUUUCCAUGAGCACUUAACCAGUCAUUAAAAAAAAAAAAUCCUAUUGCACGUUAUUCUGUUUUGAAUACUAUUCUGAUGCUAGUGAAACUUUGUAAUACAGCACUUUUCAUACCACUGUCUCCUUAAGAUGAUUCACUUAUGUUUUGCUCUUUUGUAAGUCGCUUUGGCUAAAAGCAUCUGCCAAAUGAAUAAAUAUAAAUGUAAAUGUAAAAUGCCACACCCUAGUGUGAUAUCUUCAGAUCAGAAUGUCCUACAGACAUGAGAUUUGGCUUGUUUGAAUUGGGUGAGCAAUCAGCCUUCAAGUAUCAUCAUGGAAACUACUUAACCACGCCCUAGCAACGAUUAUUGUAUUGGUGUAUUAACCCUUAGUCCACCAACAUACUAAAUGUCCAUUUCAAUUUAUUGUAUUGGUCUAUUACCCCUGUGUCAACCAACAUACUAAAUGUCCAUUUUCAAUUUAUUGUAUUGGUCUAUUACCCCUGUGUCCAUCAACAUACUAAAUGCCCAUUUUCAAUUUAUUGUAUUGGUCUAUUGUGUCCACCAACAUAUUAAAUGUCCAUUUUCAAUUUA
Myxocyprinus asiaticus (Chinese sucker) is the source of this 6587-nucleotide RNA transcript. RefSeq lists it as uncharacterized. The record is from RefSeq and is a predicted model, not a curated record. The transcript has 3 exons. Lineage: Eukaryota; Metazoa; Chordata; Actinopteri; Cypriniformes; Catostomidae.